ACUGCAUGGUGUGGGCAUUUCCGAAUUAGGUCCUUUAGCCUCUCCCAUGUUUCGUGGAAUAUUUCUCCAUCUAUUUGGAAAAAACUGGUUAUAGCCUUACUAAUCU
Molecule: small nucleolar RNA, 106 nt
Organism: Elaeis guineensis (African oil palm)
Lineage: Eukaryota; Viridiplantae; Streptophyta; Magnoliopsida; Arecales; Arecaceae
Source: RefSeq, a predicted model, not a curated record